GACGAACGCUGGCGGCGUGCCUAAUACAUGCAAGUCGAACGCACUCUCGUUAGAUUGAAGAAGCUUGCUUCUGAUUGAUAACAUUUGAGUGAGUGGCGGACGGGUGAGUAACACGUGGGUAACCUGCCCUAAAGUGGGGGAUAACAUUUGGAAACAGAUGCUAAUACCGCAUAAAACCUAGCACCGCAUGGUGCAAGGUUGAAAGAUGGUUUCGGCUAUCACUUUAGGAUGGACCCGCGGUGCAUUAGUUAGUUGGUGAGGUAAAGGCUCACCAAGACCGUGAUGCAUAGCCGACCUGAGAGGGUAAUCGGCCACACUGGGACUGAGACACGGCCCAGACUCCUACGGGAGGCAGCAGUAGGGAAUCUUCCACAAUGGACGAAAGUCUGAUGGAGCAACGCCGCGUGAGUGAAGAAGGUUUUCGGAUCGUAAAACUCUGUUGUUGGUAGAAGAACGUAUUUGAUAGUAACUGAUCAGGUAGUGACGGUAU
This 490-nucleotide ribosomal RNA is filed under the name uncultured bacterium. Its description in RNAcentral is "bacterial SSU rRNA". It matches the Rfam family "Bacterial small subunit ribosomal RNA", at positions 28 to 499 of the family's 1533-position model. The record is from RNAcentral.